RNAcentral lists this transfer RNA (75 nucleotides) under Anaerolineaceae bacterium. RNAcentral's name for it is "tRNA-Lys". It matches the Rfam family "tRNA". Rfam says of the family: Transfer RNA (tRNA) molecules are approximately 80 nucleotides in length. Their secondary structure includes four short double-helical elements and three loops (D, anti-codon, and T loops). The record is from RNAcentral. Lineage: Bacteria; Bacillati; Chloroflexota; Anaerolineae; Anaerolineales; Anaerolineaceae.
GGCCCUGUAGCUCAACGGCAGAGCAGUUGCCUCUUAAGCAAACGGUUGUAGGUUCGAAUCCUACCAGGGUCAACA